This is a non-coding RNA of Bombyx mori (domestic silkworm), 69 nucleotides long. NCBI's taxonomy places the organism in Eukaryota, Metazoa, Arthropoda, Insecta, Lepidoptera, Bombycidae. The record is from Rfam.
CCAGUCGUAGCCGAUGUUCCACAAGAGAGGGCCAAGGACCGACCCCUGUGGGACACCGCGCUCGACGGG